AGGUUGUGGUGAGGACACUUCCUCAACAAAUCCUUAAAUCUCUCCAAGGCCUCAAAAAGUGACUCUGAAUCCAACUGGACAAAUGAAGUAAUCUCCUAACGCAGCUU
This is a small nucleolar RNA of Dioscorea cayenensis subsp. rotundata (Guinea yam), 107 nucleotides long. NCBI's taxonomy places the organism in Eukaryota, Viridiplantae, Streptophyta, Magnoliopsida, Dioscoreales, Dioscoreaceae. The record is from RefSeq and is a predicted model, not a curated record.